GCUCUGUGGUCCAAGAUUUCCGUAAGGUUGGGAUCGUGGAUUUCCAUCGUAGAGUCCCAGCCGCAUCUGCACGUUGUAAAGGUAUCGAAGUGCUUGGUUCACAUUGGCCUCGGUAAUUUUUCCAUUGGUGAUUGCAGACUGCGUGUGGAUGGCCAGGAAGGGACCACAAUCGAGAUUCAAUCCUGACAGGAGAAAGGAAUGGAAAAAGAACGCGGUGGUUAGCACAGCCCUUGUCGGAAGGUUCUUUUGUCAUAA
RNAcentral lists this long non-coding RNA (255 nucleotides) under Selaginella moellendorffii. Its description in RNAcentral is "long non-coding RNA (SMOE_LNC001332)". The record is from RNAcentral. Lineage: Eukaryota; Viridiplantae; Streptophyta; Lycopodiopsida; Selaginellales; Selaginellaceae.